This 253-nucleotide ribosomal RNA is filed under the name uncultured bacterium. RNAcentral's name for it is "partial 16S ribosomal RNA". It matches the Rfam family "Bacterial small subunit ribosomal RNA", at positions 524 to 776 of the family's 1533-position model. The record is from RNAcentral.
UACGAAGGGGGCUAGCGUUGUUCGGAUUUACUGGGCGUAAAGCGCACGUAGGCGGAUCGUUAAGUCGGGGGUGAAAUCCUGGAGCUCAACUCCAGAACUGCCUUCUAUACUGGCGAUCUAGAGUCCGGAAGAGGUGAGUGGAACUCCUAGUGUAGAGGUGGAAUUCGUAGAUAUUAGGAAGAACACCAGUGGCGAAGGCGGCUCACUGGUCCGGUACUGACGCUGAGGUGCGAAAGCGUGGGGAGCAAACAGG